GGAAGUAAAAGUCGUAACAAGGUUUCCGUAGGUGAACCUGCGGAAGGAUCAUUAAUGAUUGGCCUAACGGCCUUAUCAACAUAAUCCCUCACCUCUGUGAACCGUUGACCUCCGGGUCUACAUAACAAACAUCAGUGUAAAGAACGUCUUUAUAUUUUAACAAAAUAAAACUUUCAACAACGGAUCUCUUGGCUCUCGCAUCGAUGGAGAACGCAGCGAAAUGCGAUAAGUAGUGUGAAUUGCAGAAAUUGUGAAUCAUCGAAUCUUUGAACGCAAAUUGCACUCUCUGGUAUUCCGGGGAGUAUGCCUGUUUGAGGGUCGUUAGAAAAAAAAUCGAAGCCGUCGCUCUUUAUGAAAUAUGUAACAUAUUUUGUGUUUGGGUGAUUGCGUCGGAAUUGAGCCGUCUUUUUCAUAUGUUAAUUCAUGUCAAAGUGGCUUAAAAUUCAUCAAUCUGGUACGAUUUAAAGCGUAUUUAAGAUCAGCCUUGAUUAAGAACGCGCGACGACGUACCAUCUCAUGUAGUACGUUCGACCUGCUUGUCAGGCUCAUUCGUAUACGACACUCAACUUUUGACCUCAAAUCAGGUAAGAAUACCCGCUGAACUUAAGCAUAUCAAUAAGCGGAGGA
This 627-nucleotide ribosomal RNA is filed under the name Funneliformis caledonium. RNAcentral describes it as "eukaryotic LSU rRNA". The stretch from base 169 to 321 matches the Rfam family "5.8S ribosomal RNA". Lineage: Eukaryota; Fungi; Glomeromycota; Glomeromycetes; Glomerales; Glomeraceae. The record is from RNAcentral.